UUGCAGAGCUGUGACAGACAAGUCCUGCACGCAGAGGCUGGCUACAGCUGUCCCUGCAGACAUCCCCUAGGUACAGGCAUGAUAAAAGAGGCAAAAUACACCCACCCUUCUGCUGCUUCUCUGGGGAGGAGAGAGCAACUUGGGCAGAUUCUUCAUGCUGGGGCCUCGGGAAAGCCUGGGGAGAGCUGGAUCCAUCCAAACAUGCAUCCAUGUCCACUCACAGCUCAACUCUGCCCUGAAGCCCUCUGCUGUCCCCAGCAGAACUGUGGGGGCAGAAGAGCUCACUGGAACCAUGGACACUUGCAGCCUAAGGCACUUCAGCUUCAGGGAGCAGCAGGGCCUCUGGACUCGAAGAGCUCGCAGCCCUCCAGCGCCCCAGGAUCCAGCAUGUAAAGGUUGGACCAUUUGACUCGACACUCACCUCCAGAGCAGCUGCCAGCCCUGUCCCCAUGCUCAGCCACGUCAGCCCCGCUGGGGGAAGAAGGACUCCAUGUGAUCCCUCCUGUUCUGUUCCACAUCAAGUAGCAGCACAUCCUAGGCGAGGAGCUUCUGCUUAAUUUGUGUACACAAACAAUCAGGGGGAACCCAGGUGCUGUCUGCAAGAGCUACUCACCAUCGACAGUCACACACCAGUGAGGGCCACACACCAGCGACAGCCCACGCUGGCCCACGGCAAGGGCAGCAGCUGCCGCCUGGGGCUGUGCCUAAUUGGCGUCGGCUGCUGCAGUUUGCUCAGCUCUCGAUGGACGUGAGGCUGUGGCACAAACACUUCAGCCAAGGACACUCCACGAGGAGGCAAAACAUUUUAAAAGGGAAAGAGGCUCUAGCUGGGGUACAGCCAGUAACAUGCAAAUGCAAACCAUGAAUGCUGUGGCCAAAGCAAGGAGAUCUACUGCAACAAAAUGGAAAGAGAGUCUGCUCCUUCCCAACACUGUCAGCAACACAGCUCUUUAAUCUGCUCAGAGACUUUUUUUCACCCUCCAGAAUAAAUUAGGAAGUGGGUAAAGGAUCCAAGAGAUAAAACCACAGAGGAACUCGCCAGAGUUUUUGUAUGUUAAGUCCACUCCCCUAAACAAAACGAACAUUUAAAACAA
Long non-coding RNA from Pogoniulus pusillus (Red-fronted tinkerbird), 1094 nucleotides. RefSeq lists it as uncharacterized. Lineage: Eukaryota; Metazoa; Chordata; Aves; Piciformes; Lybiidae. The transcript has 3 exons. The record is from RefSeq and is a predicted model, not a curated record.